This is a long non-coding RNA of Strigops habroptila (Kakapo), 3256 nucleotides long. NCBI's taxonomy places the organism in Eukaryota, Metazoa, Chordata, Aves, Psittaciformes, Psittacidae. The record is from Ensembl.
CAGCGAAGAUAAAAUUAUGCACAUGAAUUAUGCAUCUGAAUUAUGAUUUCACUCCUAUUUUUGUUGGGAUUAGCUCAUGUUUGGUGUGUAUCCCUGGCAGGUUGCUGGCGGUUCGGCAGCUAGCAGAGUGCUUGAUCCAACUCCCAGCAGGUCGCUGUGGUUUCAGGUCCCAUGUUCCUGGCUCCUCACAGAGCUUCCUGGGAUCCAGCCCACCAGCAACGAUGGCAGCCCCUGCUCCUUCACGCCUCUCGGGCCUGGGAAGAGACAGAGCUGAUGCAUCAGCAAGGUGAGGAGGAGGCAGAAGAACCAGCAGCAGCUCCCAGGUCAUCAUCACUUUGUCAAAAUCAGCAGGUAUCUGCCGUGCCCUUCAGCUCUCUAUUGUGGCUUCUGUUUAGUUUGGUUUCCCCAUGGCAGCUGUCUCCAUCCCUGCAUUAUCAAACCACCUGCCUGAAUUUCAAGGAAGUCAUGCAUAUAUUCAACAGGAAUAUCAAUUCCCAGGAGCUCCUGGGGGGCCUUGAGAUCAGAGCAGCUAAACCAGGGAUUUCUGCUCACACCGCCAGGGCUGGAACUUGCCUUGGCUGGGAUGUGUGCUGGGGGGGUGCCCUGGGGCUGAGCCCCAUCCCAGCAGCAUCACACUGGUGGGACCAGCCUGGGAGAAACCAGCCCGAGUGAGGGCACCUCCUCCAUAUGUUUUUUAAACCAAAGGUGGCUCCUGAAAUCAAUAGAGAAGGCAAUUCCUCCACAGCCUGGGGAACCAUCCUGUCCACAUUCCUCCCUGAGACCUUUAAAGGAGCUGAGGAAUCCAAUUCCUACUAAUUUGCUUUGAAAAUACCAACUUAAAAUUGCAAUUCUGGCAUGCUGGGAGGAAAGACCCGACCGGACUGUAGCUUCCCUAAGACAACAGUUUUGAUGAUUUAUUAAGAUUUACAUUUUUAACAGUAUUAUGUUGGUUAAUGUUAAGAUGUUCCUACGAUUAAUGAAAAUUUCAUACACUGACUGGGGAAGAAAGAGCCCAUUUUAUGUCCCCACCAGAUGGCCUAGACCAGCUGCUCACUUUUCUUCUUUGAACUGUGAUUCUAAUGACUUCUCUGUCCUUUGAAGUCUGCUUCUGAGCUGCUGAACCAGAUGUAUUUGCAUGACAGCAGCAGAGUUUAACAGACGAGGACUUGUGCUAUUUUCCCUCAUACCCCACCACAUUUGCUCUUGUUUGGUGGUUUGGAGGGGUGAGUAAACACAAAGGCUUUCCAGGCACUGCUAAAGUGUACCUUGGUGUAACAUCACCAGCUUCAGUGGAGUAAUUCCCUAAACCCACAGCAUCUUUACCCAGCUCUGGGCUGGUUUAUAAACCCAUGAGCAGUGUCAGUCUGCUUUCAGUCACGGAUUUAUGAGGGUAUCACAAAAGCAGGAGCUGCUGUCAGAACACACAUUUCAGCACUGUUUUCAAAACAGAACAAAAAAAGGAAGAGCUUUAAAUAUGUAUUAAGAAGUUUUAAAAAGAAUAAAUCACAAAACAAAAUGGUGACAAAAGGAACAAAACCCAAGAAGAUCCCUAAGUGUGGGUUUGGUGGAAUUUUAUGCCAAAUAGAGAAGUCGGGGAGGCAAUGCUGACAUUCCUGGCUUUCAGAUUUCAUACCCAAAGCAGCCCUGCCUGAUUCCAUCCCCAGAUGCUGCUUCCCAGAGCACUUGCAGGCUAUCAAGCAGCUGCACUGCCCAGAGCAAUGGCUGGGCUGAGAUGGCAGAGAGUGCUCUAAAAUCAUCCUCCCACAAUAUUAACACGCUUGAGGGUGUCUCUCUGCUCCGUGUUUCACUGCGACUGCCUUGGAGGCCUGUUAGGGACUUCUGUGGAACAAAUAAUAAAUGGAAUGAUAAAGGUAAGGAGCACAGCAAUUAGUCAGAACCAGACAGCUCCAGGGCAAAGAAGAAAGCCAAGGCGACGGUGCUGGUGGCACAGCAUGUACUUUUCUUACACGAGGUGCUCAGUCUGAUAAGGAGAUGAAGGGAAGGUAAAGUGAGGUGAACAAGAGGUAAGACGGUCUCUCGAGUGAGGUUCCAGAGCUUGGCUUUGCCUGGCUGUGCCAUGGAAGGAAAGGACACCAUGCCCCGAUCCUGCAGCUCUCCUGCUCCGUCCUGGGUGAUGCAGAUCCCUGUGUUGGCAGCGGUCCACAUGCAGCAGGCUUGGCUCGUCCCCAGUCAAGUGUAUUUCCUCAUCAACUGGGGCCUUUCAGUCCUUGGCUUCUCUCCUGGGGUCCUGUUCCCAAGGAAGUGGCAAUAGGCCGUCUGUUCAUUUGAUGCAAGAAGUGAAUUCCAGGUGAGGUGCAGAUCAUAUCUGGAGGAGCGUCUGUAAAGGCAAGUAGGUUUCUCUUCCCAACUAUCAGUCCCUUGUGUCCCCAGUGCUGUAAAUCUGUUACAUCUCUGUGCCUCGACCAGGUACAGACAGAUCUAGGACAGGGCGAUGGGUGUGCGACAGGAACAGCCUGUUACAGUUCAGCAGCCCUCCUCUGCGCUCUGAUUUCAGGUUAUAUCCGUCUCUUACAGUUGCUUUUAACGAAACACUGAGUGUCCACAAUGGUUAAAACCUGCACAGUCCCCCCAAACUGCUCCUUGGGGAGCACAGUGCAUGGCUGCCCAGUGCUUCUGCGCCAGUCAGCGGUCACCGGGCCACAGCCAGGAUGGAUCUGGGCAUUGUGGUCACUGUAUGUAUGGACAGUGCCACCUGCUGUGGUGCUCCCCACCGCCAUGGCACCCAGUCCCAAGACCUGGAGCUGCGAUCACUGCCUGGGGCAGGCGCUUGUGCUUGUCUUGCUGCUCCAUCAUCAUGAAUUCUCCUUCCUUCCUGGGUUCAGUGCCAUAUGAGAGCGGAAUGGCCGUGAGGGUAACAUUGCCGUGAGGGUGACAUGGCUGUGAGGGUGACAUGCUAUGAUGGUGGCAGUGCCAUGAUGGUGAUGCGGCUGUGACAGUGACAUGGCUGUGAGGGUGACGUUGCUAUGAUGGUGGCAGUGCCAUGAUGGUGACACUGGUGUGAUGGUGACGCGGCUGUGAGAGUGAUGAUGCUAUGAUGGUGGCAGUGCUGUGAGGGUGACACAGCCACAAGGGUGACAGGGCUGUGAGGGUGAUGCUGUUGUGAUGGUGGCGGUGCAGUGAUGGUGGCGGUGCAGUGAGGGUGACAUGGCUGUGAGGGUGACACUGCUGUGAGGGUGACAUUGCUAUGAUGGUGCCAGUGCUGUGAGGGUGACACAGCCACAAGGGUGACAGGGCU